CAGGUGCCUGAGAAACAAAGCCGCAGAUCGCUCCACCGCUGUGCGCAGCCCCCUGCUGAGGGGCCAGCGGCUCUCCCUGGGCAAAUUCCAGGGUAAGGUGUCUCCCGGAGCUGGGGAUGCGGAGCCAGAUUUCUGGCUGAAAUCAUCCUCAUCGGAAAAAUCCGCAGAGGAAGACAUAGAGCAGCGAUAGGACGCGUUCCCGGAACUCUACAGAGAAUGACACAGAAAAAGCAUUAACAGCAAAAUACUCACAUAUGCUCAAUGAUUUAAACAUCUCCCCCA
RNAcentral lists this long non-coding RNA (282 nucleotides) under Homo sapiens (human). RNAcentral describes it as "HSALNT0334767". The record is from RNAcentral. Lineage: Eukaryota; Metazoa; Chordata; Mammalia; Primates; Hominidae.